UUGGGACAUUGACAUGGCCUAGGGGAGAUGACUGGAUAGAAAGUAUUCUUGUAUUCAUUUACCUCUUAGUCCUACAAAA
RNAcentral lists this small nucleolar RNA (79 nucleotides) under Microcebus murinus (gray mouse lemur). Lineage: Eukaryota; Metazoa; Chordata; Mammalia; Primates; Cheirogaleidae. The record is from RNAcentral.